GGGUUGUGAGGUUAAGCGACUAAGCGUACACGGUGGAUGCCCUGGCAGUCAGAGGCGAUGAAGGACGUGCUAAUCUGCGAAAAGCGUCGGUAAGGUGAUAUGAACCGUUACAGCCGGCGAUGUCCGAAUGGGGAAACCCAGUGCAAUUCGUUGCACUAUCGUUAACUGAAUACAUAGGUUAACGAGGCGAACCGGGGGAACUGAAACAUCUAAGUACCCCGAGGAAAAGAAAUCAACCGAGAUUCCCCCAGUAGCGGCGAGCGAACGGGGAGCAGCCCAGAGUCUGAAUCAGCUUGUGUGUUAGUGGAACGGUCUGGAAAGUCCGACGGUACAGGGUGAUAGUCCCGUACACCAAAAUGCACAGGCUGUGAACUCGAAGAGUAGGGCGGGACACGUGGUAUCCUGUCUGAAUAUGGGGGGACCAUCCUCCAAGGCUAAAUACUCCUGACUGACCGAUAGUGAACCAGUACCGUGAGGGAAAGGCGAAAAGAACCCCGGCGAGGGGAGUGAAAAAGAACCUGAAACCGUGUACGUACAAGCAGUGGGAGCACCUUCGGGUGUGACUGCGUACCUUUUGUAUAAUGGGUCAGCGACUUAUAUUCUGUAGCAAGGUUAACCGUAUAGGGGAGCCGCAGGGAAACCGAGUCUUAACUGGGCGUUAAGUUGCAGGGUAUAGACCCGAAACCCGGUGAUCUAGCCAUGGGCAGGUUGAAGGUUGGGUAACACUAACUGGAGGACCGAACCGACUAAUGUUGAAAAAUUAGCGGAUGACUUGUGGCUGGGGGUGAAAGGCCAAUCAAACCGGGAGAUAGCUGGUUCUCCCCGAAAGCUAUUUAGGUAGCGCCUCGUGAACUCAUCUUCGGGGGUAGAGCACUGUUUCGGCUAGGGGGUCAUCCCGACUUACCAACCCGAUGCAAACUACGAAUACCGAAGAAUGUUAUCACGGGAGACACACGGCGGGUGCUAACGUCCGUCGUGAAGAGGGAAACAACCCAGACCGCCAGCUAAGGUCCCAAAGUCAUGGUUAAGUGGGAAACGAUGUGGGAAGGCACAGACAGCCAGGAUGUUGGCUUAGAAGCAGCCAUCAUUUAAAGAAAGCGUAAUAGCUCACUGGUCGAGUCGGCCUGCGCGGAAGAUGUAACGGGGCUAAACCAUGCACCGAAGCUGCGGCAGCGACACUAUGUGUUGUUGGGUAGGGGAGCGUUCUGUAAGCCUGCGAAGGUGUGCUGUGAGGCAUGCUGGAGGUAUCAGAAGUGCGAAUGCUGACAUAAGUAACGAUAAAGCGGGUGAAAAGCCCGCUCGCCGGAAGACCAAGGGUUCCUGUCCAACGUUAAUCGGGGCAGGGUGAGUCGACCCCUAAGGCGAGGCCGAAAGGCGUAGUCGAUGGGAAACAGGUUAAUAUUCCUGUACUUGGUGUUACUGCGAAGGGGGGACGGAGAAGGCUAUGUUAGCCGGGCGACGGUUGUCCCGGUUUAAGCAUGUAGGCUGAUUAUCCAGGCAAAUCCGGAUAAUCAAGGCUGAGGUGUGAUGACGAGGCACUACGGUGCUGAAGUAACAAAUGCCCUGCUUCCAGGAAAAGCCUCUAAGCAUCAGGUAACAUUAAAUCGUACCCCAAACCGACACAGGUGGUCAGGUAGAGAAUACCAAGGCGCUUGAGAGAACUCGGGUGAAGGAACUAGGCAAAAUGGUGCCGUAACUUCGGGAGAAGGCACGCUGGUGUGUAGGUGAAGUCCCUGCGGAUGGAGCUGAGACCAGUCGAAGAUACCAGCUGGCUGCAACUGUUUAUUAAAAACACAGCACUGUGCAAACACGAAAGUGGACGUAUACGGUGUGACGCCUGCCCGGUGCCGGAAGGUUAAUUGAUGGGGUUAUCCGUAAGGAGAAGCUCUUGAUCGAAGCCCCGGUAAACGGCGGCCGUAACUAUAACGGUCCUAAGGUAGCGAAAUUCCUUGUCGGGUAAGUUCCGACCUGCACGAAUGGCGUAAUGAUGGCCAGGCUGUCUCCACCCGAGACUCAGUGAAAUUGAACUCGCUGUGAAGAUGCAGUGUACCCGCGGCAAGACGGAAAGACCCCGUGAACCUUUACUAUAGCUUGACACUGAACAUUGAGCCUUGAUGUGUAGGAUAGGUGGGAGGCUUUGAAGCGUGGACGCCAGUCUGCGUGGAGCCAACCUUGAAAUACCACCCUUUAAUGUUUGAUGUUCUAACGUUGGCCCCUGACCGGGGUUGCGGACAGUGUCUGGUGGGUAGUUUGACUGGGGCGGUCUCCUCCCAAAGCGUAACGGAGGAGCACGAAGGUUAGCUAAUCCUGGUCGGACAUCAGGAGGUUAGUGCAAUGGCAUAAGCUAGCUUGACUGCGAGCGUGACGGCGCGAGCAGGUGCGAAAGCAGGUCAUAGUGAUCCGGUGGUUCUGAAUGGAAGGGCCAUCGCUCAACGGAUAAAAGGUACUCCGGGGAUAACAGGCUGAUACCGCCCAAGAGUUCAUAUCGACGGCGGUGUUUGGCACCUCGAUGUCGGCUCAUCACAUCCUGGGGCUGAAGUAGGUCCCAAGGGUAUGGCUGUUCGCCAUUUAAAGUGGUACGCGAGCUGGGUUUAGAACGUCGUGAGACAGUUCGGUCCCUAUCUGCCGUGGGCGCUGGAGAAUUGAGGGGGGCUGCUCCUAGUACGAGAGGACCGGAGUGGACGCAUCACUGGUGUUCGGGUUGUCAUGCCAAUGGCACUGCCCGGUAGCUAAAUGCGGAAGAGAUAAGUGCUGAAAGCAUCUAAGCACGAAACUUGCCCCGAGAUGAGUUCUCCCUGAGACUUUAAGUCUCCUGAAGGAACGUU
RNAcentral lists this ribosomal RNA (2825 nucleotides) under Klebsiella pneumoniae. RNAcentral's name for it is "partial 23S ribosomal RNA". It matches the Rfam family "Bacterial large subunit ribosomal RNA". The record is from RNAcentral. Lineage: Bacteria; Pseudomonadati; Pseudomonadota; Gammaproteobacteria; Enterobacterales; Enterobacteriaceae.